Molecule: long non-coding RNA, 234 nt
Organism: Branchiostoma belcheri (Belcher's lancelet)
Lineage: Eukaryota; Metazoa; Chordata; Leptocardii; Amphioxiformes; Branchiostomatidae
Exons: 4
Source: RefSeq, a predicted model, not a curated record
CAAUAAUCCUCCUAAAUCCAUUCCACUUUUUAUCUACAUCUCUUUUUCAUUGGUCCUAUUGUUAAGUAUUAAUUUUUCUCCUGCUUUUCCAAAAUAACCAGACAUAGGGAGCUAGCUGUAAGAGAUCAAAUAUCAUCAAGUAGAAGACAAGAUUAUACAAGAGAACCUCCUUCAGCAAGAAGAGAGGAUUUUACUAGAGAAACAUCAACCAGAAAAGAGGAACCAGUCAGGGAG